This 253-nucleotide ribosomal RNA is filed under the name uncultured bacterium. RNAcentral's name for it is "partial 16S ribosomal RNA". It matches the Rfam family "Bacterial small subunit ribosomal RNA", at positions 524 to 776 of the family's 1533-position model. The record is from RNAcentral.
GACAGAGGGUGCAAACGUUGCUCGGAAUUACUGGGCGUAAAGCGCGUGUAGGCGGUCACGCAAGUCGGGGGUGAAAGCCCGGGGCUCAACCCCGGAACUGCCCUCGAAACUAGGUAGCUAGAAUCUUGGAGAGGCGAGUGGAAUUCCGAGUGUAGAGGUGAAAUUCGUAGAUAUUCGGAAGAACACCAGUGGCGAAGGCGACUCGCUGGACAAGUAUUGACGCUGAGGUGCGAAAGCGUGGGGAGCAAACAGG